Molecule: transfer RNA, 68 nt
Filed under: Pseudotrichonotus altivelis
Lineage: Eukaryota; Metazoa; Chordata; Actinopteri; Aulopiformes; Pseudotrichonotidae
Description: tRNA-His
Rfam family: tRNA
About the family: Transfer RNA (tRNA) molecules are approximately 80 nucleotides in length. Their secondary structure includes four short double-helical elements and three loops (D, anti-codon, and T loops). Further hydrogen bonds mediate the characteristic L-shaped molecular structure. tRNAs have two regions of fundamental functional importance: the anti-codon, which is responsible for specific mRNA codon recognition, and the 3' end, to which the tRNAs corresponding amino acid is attached (by aminoacyl-tRNA synthetases). tRNAs cope with the degeneracy of the genetic code in two manners: having more than one tRNA (with a specific anti-codon) for a particular amino acid; and 'wobble' base-pairing, i.e. permitting non-standard base-pairing at the 3rd anti-codon position.
Source: RNAcentral
GUGAACAGAGUUUAGCAUAACGUUAGAUUGUGAUUCUGAAAGCAGGGGUUAAAACCCCCUUGUUCACC